GAUGAACGCUGGCGGCGUGCCUAAUACAUGCAAGUCGAGCGAACAGACGAGGAGCUUGCUCCUUCGACGUUGGCGGCGGACGGGUGAGUAACACGAAGGUAACCUACCUAUAAGACUGGGAUAACUUCGGGAAACCGGAGCUCACACCGGAUAAUAUUUCGAACCGCAUGGUUCGAUAGUGAAAGAUGGCUUUGCUAUCACUUAUAGAUGGAACUGCGCCGGAUUAGCUAGUUGGUAAGGUAACGGCUUACCAAGGCAACGAUCCGUAGCCGACCUGAGAGGGUGAUCGGCCACACUGGAACUGAGACACGGUCCAGACUCCUACGGGAGGCAGCAGUAGGGAAUCUUCCGCAAUGGGCGAAAGCCUGACGGAGCAACGCCGCGUGAGUGAUGAAGGUCUUCGGAUCGUAAAGCUCUGUUAGUAGGGAAGAACAAACGUGUAAGUGACUGUGCACGUCUUGACGGUACCUAAACAGAAAGCCCCGGCUAACUACGUG
RNAcentral lists this ribosomal RNA (497 nucleotides) under uncultured bacterium. RNAcentral's name for it is "partial 16S ribosomal RNA". It matches the Rfam family "Bacterial small subunit ribosomal RNA", at positions 28 to 507 of the family's 1533-position model. The record is from RNAcentral.